RNAcentral lists this long non-coding RNA (598 nucleotides) under Marmota monax (woodchuck). Lineage: Eukaryota; Metazoa; Chordata; Mammalia; Rodentia; Sciuridae. The record is from RNAcentral.
AGCCAGGAGCUGGGCAGUUCCAGGGAGGGACGGGCAGGCGUCAGGCCCAGGACGGGGCUGAGCAGCGUGCUGGAGGGGGCCGGCUGCCGAGGGCCCUGCAACUCCUCCCGGACCCUCAGCCUCCCCUCGGCCCCUCUGCACUCGGCCACGGGACUGCUGGGCAUGUGCCCAUGGCCCAGGGACUCCAGGCGGUCCCGGGAGAGCACCUGGACUUGCUAGCCCACCCCCACCAGCUGACUCAGAGUGCGGGGGCAGAGCCCAGGGUCGGGUUUUCACGGCCCUCCCGGGGAUGCCAGGCUGCUGGGGUGAGACUUCUGACCUGCCUUGCCUGGCGGGAAGCUUGGAAUAUCUGGGUCCAAGAGCCCCAUUCACUCCUACUGGACCCAGGACCCAGCAAUGCAAUGGGCAUGUGAGCAGCCUGGGCCACAGAGGCAACAGUCAAAAACCCUCUGGGAGAUAAUGCAGAGGCAGUAGGAAGGCCGGAUCCCUGCAGCUGUCCUGUGAGCCUGUGUGUCCACCCUACCACACCACAGGUGAGAACACAACCCCAAAGUCAAGGUCACCAAGGGAGCAGGUGGCUGAGCAGUGCUCUGAACAC